UUAAGAGAGGAGCAGGCUGUUAAGGCUGGAAAACAGCCACAGUAGCAGCAAAGGUUAAAGCAGUGGCAGAGUUUAGAGACAGUACACUCUGAAAGGAAAGGCAUAGUGGGCUGCUGGAAAGAGAAUGAGCCAACAGCCCUGAGAGUUCUGCGUUAAGGUUUUCCUUUUAAGUUCCCGCCUCUGUCUUAACUCUCUACCUUUGUCUUUGUCUAGUUUCCCUCUUCUGCCUUAAGUCUCUGCCUUUCUCCCACCUAGUUCUCAUUCCAGGUAUGUGGUGUUCUCCCUCAGUGUCAGUUGAUACACAGAUACAGGCUCACUGUUGGAAGUAGCUCCUUCCUAAUGAUGGUGCUGCUCAUUACAGUCACCCCAGGAAGGUCUUACAGUGGUUAAAUACGUACUUACUGCACCUGUGUACCUCUUAGGAAUUUCACUUUUGCCCUCUUUCCUUCAUCAGCUACUUUCUGAUAGCUUAACUGCAGAGUGAACAGUUACUGAGCAUCUAUCUCAAGAGACGUUCCAGGGUGUUCCUUCCUGCUUACGUAUUUUCCUUCCUCUCUGCUCAUAUCUAGCAUGCAUGUUUCGGAUCGUCUCUGAGCUGUAAGAUUUUCCAGACCUCUUUUUCCCAGGGGCUCCCCCUUCCGGUUCAUAUCUAGCUAUCUGCAUGUCCUAGCAUUUAUGGUAGUCUUCCCUUCCUUCCUUUCUCCUUUCUUCCCUCCCUUCUUUCUUCCCAGUCGAGCUCCUGUAAUUUCUCAGGAGAGUGGAUAUGCAUUUCCUUAUUAGAAUUUACAUCUUUAUUUCAAUGCUGGGAAUAUAAGUUGGGAAGUAGUUCUCAUUUUGAACUGUCAUUUUUUUCCGCAUUCUUUAGAAAAGGAAGAUAAAGCAGGAUUUGGAGGCAGAACCUUAGCAUUUCCCUUGUUCUCUAAGUGCUCCCAGGCCUUCUCCCUCUCUAAAAUUGUCAGUGUUCAUUUUUAGACGCAUUAGGAGAAAGUGGCUUUCAGUAACCAUUGUCUGACUUCUUAGUGCAGGAACCUGGGUGGAUUAAUUGAAACAUUCUAAAACUAAAUAAAGUUGGCAUCAGGGGGUCCAGCUGAGCACAUACAGGUGUUACAUGCAAGUCCCCCUAAUUAGUUGCCAUAUCAGGAAGUGAUUGUGUCUUCAGCUGACUUUGUUUAAACAUGAGAUGGUCCUUAGUACUGGAGAUAGAGCCCAUUUGUAUUUGUUUUUCCUGUUUGAGAGUUACCCUUGAAAGGUAUGUCGGUAUUAUUUGUCUACAAUAAUUUUCUUGUAACCAUAUUGUUAAAUCUUUGUCAGAUUUUUAUCUUCUCCUUCCAGUCAGCAACAAAAUAUUUAUUUACUUCACUACUCACAUAUCUCAAGUUCAACUCAAUGUUUCAUUUAUCGAAGUGAAAUAAAAUGGCUACGUAAUUUACCAGUUAUUCAUGUAUUCUGAUUGUGCCAGCCUUCAGUGUGAACCUCUGGAAACUAAAUAAGAUGUGUGAACUAUAGUCCUCUGUGUUAUUUUACAGUUGCUAUAGUAGUAGUAGUUAAGAUGUAUUAAUGUAAGAAGUAGAAUAUUAUUACAUACCUAGAUGUCAGUAAUGUCUAAAUACUUUAUGAGCCUUGCUAUAUUUAAUAAUUGAAAAUGACAUUAUAGUGGAUAUUUUAAUACAGAUUUACAGAAUCUGAGAAAGGGCUGGACUUGGGCAGGACUGGAAUAUGGGCCUACAAAUUGUACAGGUCUGGUAUGAAAUUGCAACCCUUUCACACACUGGCCAGGAAACCUCAGGGAAGAUGUCUUCAUCUAUAUAGUAAGAGUAUUACUUAUUUUAUGGGUAUUGUAAUGAUAAAAUCAGUGAAUGUACAAGAAGUCCUUGGAAUAUAAUAAAUACUAAAUAAA
Saimiri boliviensis boliviensis (Bolivian squirrel monkey) is the source of this 1897-nucleotide non-coding RNA. Lineage: Eukaryota; Metazoa; Chordata; Mammalia; Primates; Cebidae. The record is from RefSeq and is a predicted model, not a curated record.